CAAGGUGGUUAUUGCCCAGG
This 20-nucleotide non-coding RNA is filed under the name Mus musculus (house mouse). The record is from RNAcentral. Lineage: Eukaryota; Metazoa; Chordata; Mammalia; Rodentia; Muridae.